GAGAGGGCAUGAGAGGUUUUCUAAAUUUUUUUUAAAAGUGGGGAAGAAUGAGUUUUUUUUGGUAAAUUUUUUUAUUUAUAUAGCCUCACUAAACGCUGUCGUUUUGGGUCAAAGGUUUAGGCGCCAAAACGGCAUCGUUUUGGACUAAGUCGCACGCCCACCCGACCUGCUCCAGGGGAUCCACGUGUUUUCGACUUUUGGGUUAUUUACCCUUUUAGUCCUUCCGCAUUUUACUUGUUUGCAAUCGAGUUUUUUUAUCUUUUAAUUUUGCC
RNAcentral lists this long non-coding RNA (272 nucleotides) under Gossypium raimondii (Peruvian cotton). Its description in RNAcentral is "long non-coding RNA (GRAI_LNC008728)". Lineage: Eukaryota; Viridiplantae; Streptophyta; Magnoliopsida; Malvales; Malvaceae. The record is from RNAcentral.